UGAGCUCCAGUCUUUCACAGGAUGUCCAUGCUCGCUACGGGGGCAUUCAAAGGCCUGCUCUCUCCCAGAGACGUUUUCCGUAUGGCAAUUACUCUAAUGCCGGACUACAAACAUGUCAAGCCACACAGGAUCUCUCAUUGAUUGCCGCAAAUGCUUCACCAGUGUUUGUGCAAGCUCCACAAGAGAAAGGACUUGCAGCGUUUGCCACUGACUUCCUCAUGGGUGGUGUUUCUGCUGCUGUGUCAAAGACUGCUGCUGCCCCUAUUGAGCGUGUG
RNAcentral lists this long non-coding RNA (275 nucleotides) under Solanum tuberosum (potato). Its description in RNAcentral is "long non-coding RNA (STUB_LNC001813)". The record is from RNAcentral. Lineage: Eukaryota; Viridiplantae; Streptophyta; Magnoliopsida; Solanales; Solanaceae.